GGACUUUGCAUAGCAACCCCGUGGCUUGCAACGACAAAAAAGCUCAAGGCAGGAACAGCAGCCCAGGGACCUGAGACCAGCGUUCUCAAAUGAAGGUGGUGAGAAACAGAUUAACCAGAUCUGCUGUUAGAGGAGAAUUCUUCUGUCCUAGCUGUGUCUCUGUGAUCUGUGGAUGAGGGUGGGAAAGCACCACUCAGUCAAUUGGGGUGUACAAAAUGGAGUUUGAGAAGGUCUCACAUCCAGGUUGUUUUGAAGCAAAGUCCAAGCAUUGUAUCACUUCAUCUGCAAAUAUUUCAAUAAGUACCCAAAAGGGUUGGACUGAGUCCCAUGAAGCCAGAUCACUUCUGACUGCAAGGAGCUUGGAAAAGCAAGUAUCUGGAUCUUUUACCAGCUAAAUUUGGAGGUAGGUAUCUACCAGACUAGGGAAGAAGAGAAGAAUGGCUGUUGAGUGCAGAUCAAUUUGUUUCCACUGAAGUCUAUGGUUGAAAUAUUUAUGCAUAGCUGAGAUAUAGAAUUGUGCUGUAAAAUGUGGUUGAUUUGGUGGUAACUAUGUGGAUAGGUGUGGUAGGUUGAAGUGUCCCCUGCAAAUUUAUGUCUACCUGGGAUCUCAGAAUGUGACUUUAAUUGGAAAUAGAGUCUUGCUGAUGCAAUUAGUUAAGAAUUUUGAGAUGAGUCGUACUGGGCUUUCGGUGGGUGCUAAAUCCAAUGGCUGGCAUCCUUAUAAGAAGAGAGGACACACACACACACAGAACAGGCCAUUCAAAGAUGGAGGCAGAGCUUGGGGUUAUGCUGACAGGAGCCAAGGAAUGCUGGGGGGACAUUAGAAGCUGAAAGAAGCAGGGAAGGAUUUUCCUCUAUAGGUUCAGAGGAUGCAUGGCCCUGCUGACACCUUGAUUUCUGGCUUCCAGCCUCUAGAACUGAGAGAUAAUUAAUUUCUGCUGUAAUAAAUCACCCAGUUUGUGGUCAUUUACUGUGGCAACCUUAGGAAGCUAAAGCAAUAGGGUGAAGGGCAGUUAUCAGAAUAAGGGGAUGUGGUGCUGGUAGACAAUCCCAAAGGUGUCCACUGCAGAAUUUACAAAAGGAGCUUAGCAGUAGGUGGAGUCAUAGCUACAGAAUGAGAGCCAGGUUGGUAUAUAGCCUUGAUGUUAUGACAAGGCAUGAGAAUGUCAGCACCAGGAAGAGUGAGCACUGAGAAGUUGAGAAAAGAGGGAAGUCAUGAUGAGACAGGAGGACAAGCACCUAGCCUUUCAUCUAGACAAACUAAUUCCUAAGCAUUUCUACCUCCUUCCUGAAUCUGCCUGUGAAUGUCCUUCAUGUGAAAUGCUCGUCACCUCACUCUGCUUGACUAAUUC
Molecule: long non-coding RNA, 1352 nt
Filed under: Homo sapiens (human)
Lineage: Eukaryota; Metazoa; Chordata; Mammalia; Primates; Hominidae
Description: non-protein coding lnc-SPRY1-11:23
Source: RNAcentral